GCGCCUAUAGCUCAAAAGGAUAGAGCAACGGAUUUCUAAUCCGUAGGUUGGGGGUUCGAUUCCCUCUAGGCGCG
Molecule: transfer RNA, 74 nt
Filed under: Caldifarciminota bacterium
Lineage: Bacteria; Pseudomonadati; Caldifarciminota
Description: candidate division WOR-3 bacterium tRNA-Arg
Rfam family: tRNA
About the family: Transfer RNA (tRNA) molecules are approximately 80 nucleotides in length. Their secondary structure includes four short double-helical elements and three loops (D, anti-codon, and T loops).
Source: RNAcentral